RNAcentral lists this transfer RNA (74 nucleotides) under Thermoleophilia bacterium. RNAcentral describes it as "tRNA-Gly". It matches the Rfam family "tRNA". From Rfam's summary of the family: Transfer RNA (tRNA) molecules are approximately 80 nucleotides in length. Their secondary structure includes four short double-helical elements and three loops (D, anti-codon, and T loops). Lineage: Bacteria; Bacillati; Actinomycetota; Thermoleophilia. The record is from RNAcentral.
GCGGGUGUAGCUCAAUUGGCUAGAGCACCAGCCUUCCAAGCUGGGGGUUGAGGGUUCAAAUCCCUUCACCCGCU